AAUUAAAGGGGUUAUUAAGGAAACUAUUCAAAUUUAUAAAUAAGGAGGCUUAUUGCCAAAAUUUUCUAAAUUAAAAUUUCAUUUAUAAUUUUAGGCGCAGCCAGUAAAUGAAAAAUUUAAAUUUUUAAUAGAAAAAAAUCCUAAGGUAAACCAAAUUUAUUAAUUACUUCCUGAAGUAAAACAUUUUAUUAAGGAAAGGAAAGGAAAUCAACCGAGACUCCGAAAGUAAUGGUGAGUGAAAUCGGAACAGCCUAAAUUAUAUUAUAAAAUUGAAAUCUAAAAUAGGUAAAAAUCAUUAGUCCUGUAAAUUUUAUAAGUAAUGAACUCUAAAUAAUAAUAAAAGUAAAAAUUUUAAACAAAUUUUUGUUAAAGUUAAUUUUAAUUUGUUUAAAAAAAUGAGUGGCCGCCAGUCCAUCACAUGGCUAACUUAUUAGUUAGAAACGUGGUAUACUGGUAGUUUGCUUCUCGACAAUAAAAGCCAGCGCUGCAUGCUAGGCUAAUACUAAAAUUCUUAUUUAACUGGAAGGAAUGACUAAGUACAAUGAGUGUAAACUUGUUGGAACACAGGGGAACCAUCCUCUAAGGCUAAGUAUUAUAAAUUUAGUGAUAGUGAAAAGUACUGUAAAGGAAAAGAAUGAAAAAGACAAGUGGUAAACAAUGUGUUGAAAUAGAUAUGAAUUAGUAACUCUAUAAGCAGUCGAAAUUCUAAAAAUUCAUUGAAUGACGGCGUACCUUUUGCAUAAUGGGUCAGCAAGUUAAUAAGAGUAGCAAGGUUAAAAGCCCUAGCGAAAGCGACUAAACUAUCAAAUUAAAUAUAAAAUAAACCUAACCAAUAAAAUUUAAACAAUCAAUCUUUCUAAUAAGAAAAUAUAUAUAUUUAAUUAUAAUGUAGUGUUGGAUUAGUUACUUUUAUUAGACCCGAAGCCAGGUGAUCUUACCUAGACCAGAUUAUAAUGGAUCGAACGGGUGAAUGUUGCAUUAUUCUCCGAUGAGUUUAGGUAAGCGGUGAAAUGCCAAUCUGACCUGGUGCUAUCUGGUUUUCUACCGAAACAUAUUUUAGUAUGACAUCUACAAAAAGAGAUUUAUGGAGGUACAGAAAGGCAAUUCCAAACAAAAAAAAGAGUUUAAUAUGUUAUAAUAUUUAUUACAUCCAUAAAUCUUUUUGGCGUUUAGGUUGAGGGGAUGUUAAAAUCUUACCUUUGGAAGCGAAACUCGAAAUUACAUAAAUUGAUAGUAGAUAUUCAGACUGCUCAUGCUAAGUUGAGUAGUCAAGACGGAAACAGCCGAGAACACAGAUCAAGGUCCCCAAUAGAUUGUUAAGUGAAAAUCAAGGACGUGACAAAAUCUUAUACAGUUGUGAAGUGAGCUUCAAAAACCCCACUAAUUUAAACAUAAUCUUAACCCCCUAAAGAUAAAAUAUUUAAUCCCCGACCCUACCUCUGCUUCUUUUUUUGCAGUACGGCAAGCCGGAAAACCAGGCUGGGUCGAUUAAAGCGAGGCUUUGCCUAACAGCAAGCACUACUUUUCUCUGCAAGAGGAGAGUAGAAAAUUCUUAUAGUUAAGAAUAAAAAAAUGCAGCGCAGGAAUUUAACAAAUAUAUACAUUAUUAUAAGUAUAAGGGUAGUAAAGUUAGCUGCUACCCCGUCUAGAGAUAGAUGGAAAUUUAAAUCAAAACUAUAGAUAUUUUUUAUUUUAUAUUGAUCGUUGAAUCUACAAAAUAGAAAAUAAUUGCGCUACUUAUAAUGAUCGUAUGUAACAACGCAUCAACAGUUUUAGCUUUGUUACGCCGAAAAUUUAACGGGUCUUAAACAAUCAACCGAUAUCGUGUUGAUAUUGAAUUUAUAAAUUUUGCCCUUCCUAUUAAAAGUUAACCCUCCCACUACUAUAUCCUUUUACAAAGGAUAGGAAGGGUUGUCGUUAACGCUAGGGCUAAAUGUUUAUUCUUUAUCUAGGUAGUAGAACAUUCAGUCAAUCUAUUUAUAAAAUAGUGUUUCAUUAUUUUUUAGGCAACUGAAGAGAGAAUGCUGACAUGAGUAACGUAAAAGAAGAAUAUAAUUCUUCUCGCCGAAAACGAAAGGGUUACAAUAAAAGGUUAAAUCAUUUUGUGUUAAUGCGGCCUCUAAGGACUAUAACCAAAGUUAUGGCUGAUGAGUAUAUUAUAGAAAGUCCAAAAUAAAAUUUUAUUGGGACCAAGAAAAUAAUAUUUGUUUUAGGCUAAUUUUAUUUAUUUAUUUGAUUAAUUAAAAUUAGUUAAUCUUUAAAAUAGUCGGACUUACUUGUUCAAAAGUAGGUAGACACAAUUAUUUAGUUAAUAUUUGAUAAGGAAAGAAAGGGCUAGUAUGUAGAACCGUAAAGGCCCACUCUCCAUCCGUUCAUCGUUAUUUAAAGUUGGAAGGAUAAAAAUAAUGGACUUUAUUAAAUUUAUAAUAAAGAGGUGUAUAUAAUUACCUUGCACCAAUUUAAGGAGUUAAUUUUAUUUAACUUAAUCCCAAAGUAUAAUAAAAGUAUUAAAUUAACACUCUCGCUUUGCUGCGUUUGGUUAAUUUUUUAGUUUUCAUAUAAAUAAAAUUAUUAGUUUAAAAUUUAAGCCUUACUCUCUUCCACUUAUACCGCCACAUAAAAGUUCUGCCACUGUCUUUUCGAAAGGGGAGAGUGAGCGAUUGGUGUUGUUCUUUUAAGGAUAAAAGGGGUAGGGUGAGGAAGGGUCUUCAGUUAAGUAGGAAGUAAACCUGCUUCUUAAUGGUUUUUUGAAUCUUGAGGAUAAAAUACUAAACCGAAAUUAGAAACUUAAAUUUUAACUAAUUAUUACCUUAAUUUAUUCUUAUUUUUAAUUAAAUAUUAACUAAUAAAAAGACUAAGAUAAAUAUCAUAUAUAUUUUAUUUAUUUUAUUCUGAAUUGUAAAUAUAUUUAUAUUUUACUCUGUCAAUAUUUAUUGAGCUUGUUUCAAAUACAAAUUUUACUUCUAUAACCAACCGUUAAAGGAAGAAGCGGCUCUGCAAAUCUAAGGCUGUGGUUGAAUUAGCUUCAUAACCUAAAGGUAGAAGGAAUCACUCAUAAAGUAUAGUUAAAAAUAAUAAACAAUUAAAAAAUUUUAAUUAAACUAACCUUGGAAUAAAUAUUAGACAAAUUAAAAGAAAAUACACUGCGUUUGUUGAGAAAUAUUUGCAGGAAUCUUUGAAGCUUAGCAGUCCCUCUAUUCAGUUGGUCUGUCUCUUGCUUGCGAAGUAAAAAUAAGAUAUAUUUUAGAUUUUAUAAAUUUAUAGAAAUGUUAUUAAAUAACACUACCGUACCCUAAACCGACACAGGUUCGUAGGUAGAGUAUACUAAGGCGUAGAGCUAAAAGUUGUUAAGGAACUCGGCAAGAAUACCUCAUAAGUUUUACAAGAAGAGGUGCCUACUGUUUUUUAAAAAUUUUAUUUAAUUUAUUCGGAAUUAUUUAUAAAUUUUUAGAAUGGUAUGGUGACAGAAAAUCGGAGGCCACGACUGUUUACUAAAAACACAGAUCAAUGCAAAGAUGAAAAUCAUAGUAUAUUGGUCGAAAUUUGCUCGAUGCCAUUAAUAUAAAAGAGGUCAUUGAAAAUGUGACUGAUUGAAAGUCUGGUUAAUAGCGGUCUGGAUAAGGCCGUGUGGUUUACUGAACAAAACUAUUUUAGGAAUGCAGUAAGUACACUAAUCACUAUAUGCUAGAAUCCCUUCCGUGUAAUUAUGUGUUUUAUAAUAAUAAGUUUAAUGCUUUUUAUAUUUUAUAAUAUUUAUUAAAAAAUUAAUAGUAAAAUAUUAGCAUUGUGAGGAAAAUAUAAUAAUAAAUAUAUAAUAUUAUUUUAAAAGUUUAAAUUCGUUAAUUAAGAAAUAGAACAUUUCUAGAUAGGCUGCAAAUGUAAAUAUCGUGAGAUAUGAUUUAUAAUAAAAUAUAAAUUAAAUUAAAGUUAAUUUUUUUAAGUUUAGCAGUACUAAUUUAUAAAUAAACUUGAUGUUAAAGAUUGUCAUAUUUAUCUUAUUAUUGUCAACUGUCAAAAUGGUAAAAAAGGCCUAUCUUAAAGAACUAUGGAAAGUCUCUUUGAGAGAAGGCUGCCAAUUAA
This 4080-nucleotide ribosomal RNA is filed under the name Armillaria sinapina. Its description in RNAcentral is "large subunit ribosomal RNA". The stretch from base 697 to 2029 matches the Rfam family "Bacterial large subunit ribosomal RNA", at positions 573 to 1301 of the family's 2925-position model. Lineage: Eukaryota; Fungi; Basidiomycota; Agaricomycetes; Agaricales; Physalacriaceae. The record is from RNAcentral.